CGAAGGGUGCAAGCGUUAAUCGGGAAUUACUGGGGCGUAAAGGGUGCGUAGGCGGUUCGUUAAGUCUGUUGUGAAAUCCCCGGGCUCAACCUGGGAAUGGCAAUGGAUACUGGCGAGCUAGAGUGUGUCAGAGGAUGGUGGAAUUCCCGGUGUAGCGGUGAAAUGCGUAGAGAUCGGGGAGGAACAUCAGUGGCGAAGGCGGCCAUCUGGGGACAACACUGACGCUGAAGCACGAAAGCGUGGGGAGCAAACAGGAUU
This 258-nucleotide ribosomal RNA is filed under the name uncultured bacterium. RNAcentral describes it as "partial 16S ribosomal RNA". It matches the Rfam family "Bacterial small subunit ribosomal RNA", at positions 526 to 779 of the family's 1533-position model. The record is from RNAcentral.